UUUCCUGUUCAUCUUUUCUAUUUCAGCCAACUUAAAAGAUGGAAACCAAGAGCCUCGUAACCUUGUUUCUUGUUUCGUGCAUUUUUGUCUCUGUCUGUUUUCAACCCGCUGCCUCUCAAGGUCUUCGAUGGGGAAGAGAAUAUGAAGAGGAAGAAGAAAACCAUCGAGUGAAUCCAGUGAAAGCCGAUUAUCUCAGGCGCAAAGAGAUGCACAGAACAUUUGAAGAUGCCGCAGAUGAGGCCGACUUUGAUUAUAACAGACGCUGAGUUCUACUGGAAUAUCCUACACACCAAAACGGACUAGACUGAACAUUUGAUUGAGCUUUCGUAACCCGUUACCAUGGGAAAAUUUACUUUUAAUUGAUGCAUGAUUAUUAUUUAGUAGAGGAAAUAAGUUAAGCUUGUAAAUGAGUUCAAAAAUCAUACAGCAAUAAAACGCAGUCUGAACGAUGUCGGAAUAAAAAGGAACCAGACUUUUGUCUAGUGAUAGCUAAAACCCGUGCACAAAGAAGGGAGAGAACCACGGUUACCAGGUCAAUAAACGUCUGAAAUCUUC
This is a long non-coding RNA of Pocillopora damicornis (cauliflower coral), 555 nucleotides long. The record is from RefSeq and is a predicted model, not a curated record. NCBI's taxonomy places the organism in Eukaryota, Metazoa, Cnidaria, Anthozoa, Scleractinia, Pocilloporidae.